CCGUUGCAGUCAGACUUCCUACCAGAUCUCUCAGUUACAAACAAAUCUGAGCAGACGCAGAUUCUCCCAAGCUCUGGGCAGGGGAAGCGGUGAAGGUGCAGCGAGCCUGCGAACUAGGCUGACUUACUGAGCAGGCUAAGGGACCUCGGGCAAGUCACCUGGCCUCAGUUUCCUCAUCUGUGAUGUGAGAAUGGUAACACCGCCACCUACCAUUCCAAGUUGACUGGGAAGAUGCAUUAGGACUCAGCGAGUGAAAGCCCUCCCUAACUCCACUCGGCGAGAUUGUCCUAAAAGAAGUCCCUUCCGAGUCAUUUGGGGGUCACAAUUUACCUCUGAAGAACCCAAUUGUCAUAAAAAGAGAACCGGUGUUGUCCACUUUCUGGAAUGCUGUCCAAAUUAUUUAAGGUUUGUGACUUAGGUCAGUGAGCAGCUUUUCCUCUUCUUUAGCUGUUACAUUCACAAACGAUACAAACUACCUUCGUACUGACACAUGCCAUACACAAGACAAACAUGUGAAAAACAUGGGAAUGUAUUC
This is a long non-coding RNA of Manis javanica (Malayan pangolin), 535 nucleotides long. RefSeq lists it as uncharacterized. The record is from RefSeq and is a predicted model, not a curated record. Lineage: Eukaryota; Metazoa; Chordata; Mammalia; Pholidota; Manidae.